Molecule: unclassified non-coding RNA, 240 nt
Filed under: soil metagenome
Description: partial contains 5.8S ribosomal RNA, internal transcribed spacer 2, and large subunit ribosomal RNA
Source: RNAcentral
AACCAUAGAAACCUGCGGAGUACCUGCGGAGGGAUCAUUACAAAUCCAAACAAUUACCCGUCGUAAUGUUCUCGGCCUUGGCAAAGUUGAUAUGACUUUAUCGUCAUGAUCAUGGUGAUCGUGUGUCGUCAUCACGCACGCACAUCGCAUCACACCAAGGUUCGACUUAAUGACUUAUCAUCUUUGGACAUACUGUAACCAUGUCGUUCACUCGACAAAACCAAAACAACUUUUAACAAC